RNAcentral lists this ribosomal RNA (254 nucleotides) under uncultured bacterium. RNAcentral's name for it is "partial 16S ribosomal RNA". It matches the Rfam family "Bacterial small subunit ribosomal RNA", at positions 524 to 776 of the family's 1533-position model. The record is from RNAcentral.
CACGUAGGGAGCAAGCGUUGUCCGGAUUUAUUGGGCGUAAAGAGCUCGUAGGUGGUUCGGUAAGUCAGGUGUGAAACCUCCAGGCUCAACCUGGAGACGCCACUUGAUACUGCUGUGACUGGAGUCCGGUAGGGGAGCGUGGAAUUCCUGGUGUAGCGGUGAAAUGCGCAGAUAUCAGGAGGAACACCAGCGGCGAAGGCGGCGCUCUGGGCCGGUACUGACGCUGAGACGCGAAAGCGUGGGGAGCAAACAGG